GAUGAACGCUGGCUACAGGCUUAACACAUGCAAGUCGAGGGGAAACGACGGGGAAGCUUGCUUCCCCGGGCGUCGACCGGCGCACGGGUGAGUAACGCGUAUCCAACCUGCCUCUGACUGAGGGAUAACCCGUCGAAAGUCGGCCUAAUACCUCAUGGUAUCGUCUGCGGGCAUCCAACGACGAUUAAAGAUUUCAUCGGUCAGGGAUGGGGAUGCGUCUGAUUAGCUUGUUGGCGGGGUAACGGCCCACCAAGGCUACGAUCAGUAGGGGUUCUGAGAGGAAGGUCCCCCACAUUGGAACUGAGACAAGGUCCAAACUCCUACGGGAGGCAGCAGUGAGGAAGAUUGGUCAAUGGGCGAGAGCCUGAACCAGCCAAGUAGCGUGCAGGAAGACGGCCCUAUGGGUUGUAAACUGCUUUUAUGCGGGGAUAAAGUGAGGGACGUGUCCCUCAUUGCAGGUACCGCAUGAAUAAGGACCGGCUAAUUCCGUG
Molecule: ribosomal RNA, 491 nt
Filed under: uncultured bacterium
Lineage: Bacteria
Description: partial 16S ribosomal RNA
Rfam family: Bacterial small subunit ribosomal RNA
Source: RNAcentral